RNAcentral lists this ribosomal RNA (468 nucleotides) under uncultured bacterium. RNAcentral's name for it is "partial 16S ribosomal RNA". The stretch from base 56 to 468 matches the Rfam family "Bacterial small subunit ribosomal RNA", at positions 39 to 507 of the family's 1533-position model. The record is from RNAcentral.
GGGGGGGGGGGGGGGGGGGCGGGGGGGGGGGGGGGGGGGGGGGGGGGGGCGGGGGGGGGUGGGGGCUCGCGGGGCGAGCGUGUGCGUAAGACGUGGGUGACCUGCCCGGGGCGUUGGGGUAACUUCAUGGAACUGGGGCCUGUACCCGAUAGGAGCUCCUGCUGCAUGGUUGGGGUUGGCAAGGUUCGGCGGUUGUGUAUGGACCCGCGGCUUAUCAGCCUGUUGGUGGGGUAGUUGCUUACCAAGGCUUUGACGGGUAGCCGGCCUGAGAGGGUGACCGGCCACAUUGGGAAUGAGAUACGGCCCAGACUACUGCGGGAGGCAGCAGUGGGGAAUAUUGCACAAUGGGCGGAAGCCUGAUGCAGCAACGCCGCGUGCGGGAUGACGGCCUUCGGGUUGUAAACCGCUUUCGCCUGUGACGAAGCAUGAGUGACGGUAAUGGGUAAAGAAGCACCGGCUAACUACGUG